AGACCAUUCGCUUACAGAUGUACAAUAUUGAUUUUCAUCUAAUUCAAGACGUUUAGAGGAAAUACUUUAGCUGGUUUCUGACUUUCAGUACACAUUUGAGUGUGUAUCUAGCUAUACUUGGGAAAAUUUUAUACGUACGUCCUGAAGAUUCACGCAGUGGAUAUAGGGAGAUGCAUGGAUGAAAAGUUAAUCAACAUCAAUACUAGGAAACUGUAAAUAAUAUAUAAAGGUUAUUAUUUUCUUGGUUAGACCAUGAAAUGAACACGUUAGUAAUAGUUGAGUAUGUUACUAAUAGUCAGGGUUUUAUAAUAAACAGGUGCAGGCAUGGAUAUUUCCACGUGGUGAACAAUGAUUAUACUCACUGGGAAAUGUAUGCCAUCGGUGGAAGCGCUUCUCCGACGAUAUACAGCCAAGGCAAUAGGUUCUUGCUCCUAAUACCCGGUUUAAUAAAGAGGUUACAAAACAUGAAGAUGCACCCGAAAGCAAAUGGAGAAAUUGGAAUUGGAGAUCGGAAGGGGAUAUGUUGUUGAACGGAGCAUAUUUCCGGCAAUCCGGUGCUGGAGCUUCAUCGACUUAUGCAAGAGCUUCUAGUCUAAGUGCGAGGCCAUCAUCGCUUGUGGGUUCCAUCACGACGGCAGCAGGAACACUAAGUUGUCGGCGAGGUCGUCGCUGUUGAUUGAUCAGUAUAACAAUGCUAAUGAAAUCGUUAAGAGAAAAUAAUAGUAUACUAUUAUAAUAUCAAUGUUUAUGCAGUGGUUCGUAUGUUCGAAUGAAUGGUAAAAGACUUCUUUUUGUUUUAUGUUUUU
This is a long non-coding RNA of Raphanus sativus (radish), 806 nucleotides long. RefSeq lists it as uncharacterized. Lineage: Eukaryota; Viridiplantae; Streptophyta; Magnoliopsida; Brassicales; Brassicaceae. The record is from RefSeq and is a predicted model, not a curated record. The transcript is spliced from 2 exons.